UUGUGAUUAUGAUGCACAUACAGUGUACUUACUGUAAGCGAGCAACGGAGGAUCAAAGCCCUCGCCUUGGGUCACAGAGGACAGGCUAAAGUUCCCUGAUGACCGGUUCUGUGUUCAAACCGACCUUUAACAUUGUAAAUCAGUUUCAUUCCUGACAAUAGACUAAUUUGCACAUGUAGACCUUUCAGGUUAAUAUGAAGUUAUGAGAAGCUUCAUGGUAAAUGUACAGUCACUUAAUUCAAAGACAUUUCUGAUUGUCAUAGAAACUGUCGUUUCGUGUUCCCACUGAGAUGAGUUUUUUUUUGUUGUUGUUGUUGUUUUUUAUGUUUGUAGUAUGAGGAUCCAUUUGUGCCAUAAUUAUGUUCACACAAAGACACACUAAGCAUUUGUCAGCUGUGUUUGCAAUGCAUGCAGUGCAAACAGGCUUCCAACAGAAUCUUGAGGCAAAUGAUUGCAGUGAUUCUGUGACUGUGAAGCGACGUAAAAACUGCUGUCGGUAUGAUGGUGAAAAACCAACCAUGGACAGACGUUGACUCUGGCUUCUCGUAAAAUAAAGAUGCAGUCAGACUGUCUCUUAAACUAAUAUAAGAUAAUCCAUAGUCCAGUGAUGAGGUGAGGUUGCUUCUAUAACCUCACCUGAUCAUUAUUUUUCCAUCAUUUAUGCUACAGAGCUGGCUUUUUAAAAGAUUUUACUGUGUUACAUGUCAAAAUGCUCUUCCCUAAAAGCUCAGACUCACUUAGUAUUUAAUUCAGUUCAGGCACAGCCGACUGAGCGAGAGCCCUUCGGUCAACUAGGUGUCUGUGCAGACGAAGAAAAAGUCACAAGUUUUCCCUGGAUGAAGGAUCCCUAGCUUUUGUCUGGAGAUCUCUUUUAAUUUUUCUGCUUUGAAAGCACCCAACAGUUGGUGCUCCUUUACACGCCUGUGGCUGCAGUGCAGGUUUCAAGUUUCGAGUUUUAUCGUCAUAUAAAGGAAUGGAAAAAUCAUAACCAGCAAUGAAUGCCCUGUACUUAGAGGCACACGUGUCUGAUGCCCACCCUGCAGCCGAGGUGGGUCAGCAGAGAUCUGCUGCUGUUGGGCAAAAACACCCACUAGUCUGGGACUGACUCUGCUCCAGAUGAUGCCAUGACGUCAUGUGUCUUUCUAUUUAUUUUAUCCCUUGUAAUAAGUAUAAAUCCUAUAUUGGAUGAGGCUCUCGUCUUUUUUAAGUGCUGCUCUGCUUGUCUCUCGUUUUUGUGAACAGACAUGAAAGUUUAAAAAACGCGGCCAGUUUUUUCAAAUCCGGUAAAACGAGCAGGGCGACUUUUCGGGCAUGUUUUGGCCACAUAGACAGCAGCCGUACAAAUGUAAUUUUGACACCAGUGGAUCCUCAUACUAGCACCUAAACUGACUGCUGCCGUUUGUAUGAUGCAAGGUUGCAAACGGCUCUUAAAAAUGUCCAGAGUCGUAGGAUUACGUGGCGGUUGUGAAGUCAGUCAGAACACUACUUUGACUUGUCUUUGAGGUGAAAUCUUUCCUGCACUUUUUAAGAACAUGUUUUAGAUUUAGAGUGACGAUGUUGAUGUUUUAGAAACAUGGUUAAAAAAUAAUAAUAUUUACUGUGUCUUAGAGUAGAAUCAAACAUGUAGGAAUUGUUCACGUUCACACAAAAAAAAAACCACACAAAAAAAUAAAUGGGGGAGCACUCUGGUGAAAGCUAGUGAACCUUUCUAACCCACAUAAUGAGCCAAAUAAUAAGACUAGUGAGAGACGGGAUUGGUCAAAUAUGAUGGGAGAUCUGGACUGGAACAUGCUGUUUUGCAGGUUGGAUUUUAAGUUUGAAUCCCUCAAAAUGAAAGUCUUGUAAUGUUUACUCUCUUUGUGUUGCUGCCUCGUGAGGAGGGAGGUAUUUAUGUUUCAAAUCACAGCAAAAUGAUUGAUCAUUACACACUCACACACUCGUAUUUAUUCCCCUUCGAUAUAAAAGUCCACCUUUGUUUCGUUGUUUCCUGUUAACAUUUCUCCUGAAAUGGACCAAGUGAUGCAGCAGAUGUCUUGUUGGGGGAGGCGUUGUGUGUUUGAGGAUGUGGGGGGGGGGAAGCCCUGUGCUCUGGCUUUCCAUUCACACUGUACAGAAAUCUAGCAUGUCUCUCCAAAUGAUUAAUAAAGAUGUCUUAUUAC
This is a long non-coding RNA of Astatotilapia calliptera (eastern happy), 2159 nucleotides long. The record is from Ensembl. Lineage: Eukaryota; Metazoa; Chordata; Actinopteri; Cichliformes; Cichlidae.